ACUACAAUUGUCUCGAUUCUGUUUUGUAUAUCCUUCUUGAAUUGGUUACCAAUUUUCAAUCAAUGGACAAAAAAAAAGGUUCAUAUGUAGCUGAAUGUGAGAAAAUUGGUCCUGCUUCCUUCAUCCAAGUGUGAACAGCAUAGGAGGUAUUUUUGAAAGGCGGUAUAAGAGAACAAGAAUAAAAAUAAUACAAGGAAAAUGAAGAGAAGGUGAUGGGAAAAGCAGCAAGCGGGAGAUUGAGAGACAUAAAAAAAUAAUGUAUAUAUGAUGCAUAGAGAAACAAUGGCUGCACUCAACACAAACGCAACUAAACCUGAUAGUAUUCGUGCAAACACAAGGAAAGAUGGAUAUAUAAAGAUUUAAGGUGUGAGUGGAGGGAAGGGAGAGAGAAACAACGUCCGCUAUCAUGUAUCAAAGCAAGUCUGGGGAAAAUCACAGAUCAAAAAUCAAAAUCUCCGUUUUUGACUGGCUCUAAAAGCCGUGAAGCCAACAUACGCCGCAACAACAAGAGCUAGGAACAUAAUGAUCUUAAACAAAAACCAUAACCAUCCACCACUGCCAUCAUCGCCACCCCUGUUAUAAGCGGCUCCCUUUCCGGCCUUGGAAUUUGUCUUCUUACCGGCGCCCCUGGAGAUGGGAACUUGGUCUGUGGGCGCCUUGUUGUAGAGCGAAUAGGUGUUGAUAGAUAUGAUGUCAUGGUUGUCGCUGAGUUCGCCAGUCUCGGCGGACACUCCGAGGUAGGCGACAGUGGGGAUGUUUAUAGAUUGCUCCUCAGAAGCUUCAACGGUGAAGCAAGAAGUCCAGGAGAGGUCUGAUUUAUAUUGCAGGUCGAGGGAG
This 837-nucleotide small RNA is filed under the name Histoplasma capsulatum var. duboisii H88. RNAcentral's name for it is "Histoplasma capsulatum H88 hypothetical RNA". The record is from RNAcentral. Lineage: Eukaryota; Fungi; Ascomycota; Eurotiomycetes; Onygenales; Ajellomycetaceae.